This 74-nucleotide transfer RNA is filed under the name Felis catus (domestic cat). It matches the Rfam family "tRNA". From Rfam's summary of the family: Transfer RNA (tRNA) molecules are approximately 80 nucleotides in length. Their secondary structure includes four short double-helical elements and three loops (D, anti-codon, and T loops). Lineage: Eukaryota; Metazoa; Chordata; Mammalia; Carnivora; Felidae. The record is from Rfam by way of RNAcentral.
ACCUGGCUGGUUCAGUUGGUAGAACAAUGUGACUCCUGAUCUCAGGAUUGUGAGUUCAAGCCCCACGUUGGGGG